GACGAACGCUGGCGGCGUGCUUAACACAUGCAAGUCGAACGGAAAGGCCCUGCUUUUGUGGGGUGCUCGAGUGGCGAACGGGUGAGUAACACGUGAGUAACCUGCCCUUGACUUUGGGAUAACUUCAGGAAACUGGGGCUAAUACCGGAUAGGAGCUCCUGCUGCAUGGUGGGGGUUGGAAAGUUUCGGCGGUUGGGGAUGGACUCGCGGCUUAUCAGCUUGUUGGUGGGGUAGUGGCUUACCAAGGCUUUGACGGGUAGCCGGCCUGAGAGGGUGACUGGCCACAUUGGGACUGAGAUACGGCCCAGACUCCUACGGGAGGCAGCAGUGGGGAAUAUUGCACAAUGGGCGGAAGCCUGAUGCAGCAACGCCGCGUGCGGGAUGACGGCCUUCGGGUUGUAAACCGCUUUCGCCUGUGACGAAGCGUGAGUGACGGUAACGGGUAAAGAAGCACCGGCUAACUACGUG
RNAcentral lists this ribosomal RNA (468 nucleotides) under uncultured bacterium. RNAcentral's name for it is "partial 16S ribosomal RNA". It matches the Rfam family "Bacterial small subunit ribosomal RNA", at positions 28 to 507 of the family's 1533-position model. The record is from RNAcentral.